RNAcentral lists this non-coding RNA (27 nucleotides) under Rattus norvegicus (Norway rat). Lineage: Eukaryota; Metazoa; Chordata; Mammalia; Rodentia; Muridae. The record is from RNAcentral.
UGGAAGUUGUUCUGUAGAGUAUGGAGA